RNAcentral lists this ribosomal RNA (492 nucleotides) under uncultured bacterium. RNAcentral describes it as "partial 16S ribosomal RNA". It matches the Rfam family "Bacterial small subunit ribosomal RNA", at positions 29 to 507 of the family's 1533-position model. The record is from RNAcentral.
AGUGAACGCUGGCGGUAGGCCUAACACAUGCAAGUCGAACGGCAGCACAGUAAGAGCUUGCUCUUACGGGUGGCGAGUGGCGGACGGGUGAGGAAUACAUCGGAAUCUACUUUUUCGUGGGGGAUAACGUAGGGAAACUUACGCUAAUACCGCAUACGACCUACGGGUGAAAGCAGGGGAUCUUCGGACCUUGCGCGAUUGAAUGAGCCGAUGUCGGAUUAGCUAGUUGGCGGGGUAAAGGCCCACCAAGGCGACGAUCCGUAGCUGGUCUGAGAGGAUGAUCAGCCACACUGGAACUGAGACACGGUCCAGACUCCUACGGGAAGCAGCAGUGGGGAAUAUUGGACAAUGGGCGCAAGCCUGAUCCAGCCAUACCGCGUGGGUGAAGAAGGCCUUCGGGUUGUAAAGCCCUUUUGUUGGGAAAGAAAAGCAGCAGGUUAAUACCCCGAUGUUCUGACGGUACCCAAAGAAUAAGCACCGGCUAACUUCGUG